AAGCGGUGAGCAUGUGGUUUAAUUCGAAGCAACGCGAAGAACCUUUACCAGGUCUUGACAUCCUUUUGAAUGGUCUAGAGAUAGAUCAGGCCUUCGGGACAGAAGAGACAGGUGGUGCAUGGUUGUCGUCAGCUCGUGUCGUGAGAUGUUGGGUUAAGUCCCGCAACGAGCGCAACCCUUAUCCUUUGUUGCCAGCGGUCCGGCCGGGAACUCAAAGGAGACUGCCAGUGAUAAACUGGAGGAAGGUGGGAUGACGUCAAGUCAUCAUGGCCCUUACGACCAGGGCUACACACGUGCUACAAUGGCGCAUACAAAGAGAAGCGACCUCGCGAGAGCAAGCGGACCUCAUAAAGUGCGUCGUAGUCCGGAUUGGAGUCUGCAACUCGACUCCAUGAAGUCGGAAUCGCUAGUAAUCGUGGAUCAGAAUGCCACGGUGAAUACGUUCCCGGGCCUU
This 454-nucleotide ribosomal RNA is filed under the name uncultured Enterobacteriaceae bacterium. RNAcentral describes it as "bacterial SSU rRNA". It matches the Rfam family "Bacterial small subunit ribosomal RNA", at positions 927 to 1382 of the family's 1533-position model. Lineage: Bacteria; Pseudomonadati; Pseudomonadota; Gammaproteobacteria; Enterobacterales; Enterobacteriaceae. The record is from RNAcentral.